AUACGAAGGGGGCUAGCGUUGUUCGGAAUUACUGGGCGUAAAGCGUACGUAGGCGGACUGAUCAGUUGGGGGUGAAAUCCCAGGGCUUAACCCUGGAACUGCCUUCAAUACUGUCAGUCUUGAGUUUGGGAGAGGUGAGUGGAAUUCCUAGUGUAGAGGUGAAAUUCAUAGAUAUUAGGAGGAACACCAGUGGCGAAGGCGGCUCACUGGCCCAUUACUGACGCUGAGGUACGAAAGCGUGGGGAGCAAACAGGAUUAGAUACCCUAGUAGUCC
Molecule: ribosomal RNA, 274 nt
Filed under: uncultured bacterium
Lineage: Bacteria
Description: partial 16S ribosomal RNA
Rfam family: Bacterial small subunit ribosomal RNA
Source: RNAcentral